GGGUUUAAAGGGUCCGCAGGCUGUUUUUUAAGUCAGAGGUGAAAUCCUACAGCUCAACUGUAGAACUGCCUUUGAUACUGGAAAACUUGAGUUAUUGUGAAGUGGUUAGAAUGUGUGGUGUAGCGGUGAAAUGCAUAGAUAUCACACAGAAUACCGAUUGCGAAGGCAGAUCACUAACAAUAUACUGACGCUCAUGGACGAAAGCGUGGGGGAGCGAACAGGAUUAGAUACCCUGGUAGUCCACGCCGUAAACGAUGGAUACUAGCUGUUCGUCUAACAUUGGUUAGAUGAGUGGCUAAGCGAAAGUGAUAAGUAUCCCACCUGGGGAGUACGGUCGCAAGACUGAAACUCAAAGGAAUUGACGGGGGCCCGCACAAGCGGUGGAGCAUGUGGUUUAAUUCGAUGAUACGCGAGGAACCUUACCAGGGCUUAAAUGUAGUGGGACAGGUCUAGAGAUAGACCCUUCUUCGGACUCAUUACAAGGUGCUGCAUGGUU
This 496-nucleotide ribosomal RNA is filed under the name uncultured Flavobacteriaceae bacterium. RNAcentral's name for it is "bacterial SSU rRNA". It matches the Rfam family "Bacterial small subunit ribosomal RNA", at positions 556 to 1050 of the family's 1533-position model. The record is from RNAcentral. Lineage: Bacteria; Pseudomonadati; Bacteroidota; Flavobacteriia; Flavobacteriales; Flavobacteriaceae.